RNAcentral lists this ribosomal RNA (398 nucleotides) under uncultured bacterium. Its description in RNAcentral is "bacterial SSU rRNA". It matches the Rfam family "Bacterial small subunit ribosomal RNA", at positions 358 to 772 of the family's 1533-position model. The record is from RNAcentral.
GGAAUUUUCCGCAAUGGGCGAAAGCCUGACGGAGCGACGCCGCGUGGAGGAUGACGCCCUUCGGGGUGUAAACUCCUUUUCUGUGGGACGAAUGAUGACGGUACCGCAGGAAGAAGCACCGGCUAACUACGUGCCAGCAGCCGCGGUAAGACGUAGGGUGCGAGCGUUGUCCGGAGUUACUGGGCGUAAAGCGCGCGUAGGCGGCUUGGCGCGUCGCACGUGAAAGCCCCCGGCUCAACCGGGGAGGGUCGUGCGAGACGGUCAAGCUGGAGGCAGGGAGAGGCUGGUGGAAUUCCCGGAGUAGUGGUGAAAUGCGUAGAUAUCGGGAGGAACACCGGUGGCGAAGGCGGCCAGCUGGCCCUGACCUGACGCUGAGGUGCGAAGGCGUGGGGAGCGAA